UGACCCUCCAGUUUAGAGGAAAGAAAAGGAGCAACGUGAGCCUGCUCGCCUCGCUGAAUGUCCCAGGGGAAUGGUGACUUCCAUCUGCUGCAAGAGCAAACCUCAGACCAGAUCCGUCAGAGGGACCGUCAGCAUCACAGGGAGCCCCAGGGAGCCAGCGAUGCCGUGGGUGCUCCAGCAGCCCUGGAACGUGGGUGCCCAGGUCUGAGAGUCAUUGACUGUACGGCAGAAUAACAAUACCCACUUCAUGGAAUUGUUGGAGAGGAGGAUUAAAUGAAACAGCCUUUGCAGAGCUUACA
This is a long non-coding RNA of Canis lupus familiaris (dog), 299 nucleotides long. RefSeq lists it as uncharacterized. The transcript has 3 exons. The record is from RefSeq and is a predicted model, not a curated record. Lineage: Eukaryota; Metazoa; Chordata; Mammalia; Carnivora; Canidae.